AUACUCUUUAACAUUAUACGCUCCACACUUCCUUCCAGUAGGUGGCAGGAAUGCACCUUUUAAGUUGGUUUCCCAACCGCCAUUACACUCCAAAAGAAGGCGCAUUGUAGUCCAACUCUGCAUACAGACUGUCUUGUUUUAGAAUAUUAACAUUUAUAAAGUUGAUUAUUAUUCAAUCGUAAAUUGUUGUAAUCUGCUUGUGACUUGGAAAUGCAAUGCUCAGUAAACGAAAAUAAACCAGUCUCGAUGACGUAUUCAGCCUACACAUGCGACAUCAGGAGGAUGCAGCCUUCCGUUUGAGAAACGGAAUGAAAGGGUUCAUCCAUUACAAUGGGGAAAAUGUUAUCCUUCUACUUUCGACCGUGGCAGGAUUGGCUACAAUAAAGCUACAGUAACUCUGAUAACAACUUUGUAUAACUGUGGUAAGCAUGAAAGCAUAUCUCAACAGACAGCACGGUUAACCAGAGGAUGGAGUACAGGAUCGAAACGUUUAAAGACAAAGUGCAUGCGCAAUGUAAGCGAACGAGCAAACGACUGCGAUGACGAGCACAAUACGAAAGAGCUGACGGGAAAAUAAAUUUGGUAUUUUGCAAGGA
This is a long non-coding RNA of Misgurnus anguillicaudatus (oriental weatherfish), 596 nucleotides long. RefSeq lists it as uncharacterized. Lineage: Eukaryota; Metazoa; Chordata; Actinopteri; Cypriniformes; Cobitidae. The record is from RefSeq and is a predicted model, not a curated record.